UCCUGUCUUCAGGUCCUCAACGUGUCUCCAUCCAUUCUCCUGUCUUUAGGUCCUCAACGUGUCUCCAUCCAUUCUCCUGUCUUUAGGUCCUCAACGUGUCUCCAUCCAUUCCCCUGUCUUUAGGUCCUCAACGUGUCUCCAUCCAUUCUCCUGUCUUUAGGUCCUCAACGUGUCUCCAUCCAUUCUCCUGUCUUCAGGUCCUCAACGUGUCUCCAUCCAUUCUCCUGUCUUCAGGUCCUCAACGUGUCUCCAUCCAUUCCCCUGUCUUCAGGUCCUCAACGUGUCUCCAUCCAUUCCCCUGUCUUUAGGUCCUCAACGUGUCUCCAUCCAUUCCCCUGUCUUUAGGUCCUCAAUGUGUCUCCAUCCAUUCUCCUGUCUUUAGGUCCUCAACGUGUCUCCAUCCAUUCUCCUGUCUUUAGGUCCUCAAUGUGUCUCCAUCCA
Oncorhynchus keta (chum salmon) is the source of this 441-nucleotide long non-coding RNA. RefSeq lists it as uncharacterized. The record is from RefSeq and is a predicted model, not a curated record. The transcript is spliced from 3 exons. NCBI's taxonomy places the organism in Eukaryota, Metazoa, Chordata, Actinopteri, Salmoniformes, Salmonidae.